This 319-nucleotide ribosomal RNA is filed under the name uncultured Pseudomonadota bacterium. Its description in RNAcentral is "bacterial SSU rRNA". It matches the Rfam family "Bacterial small subunit ribosomal RNA", at positions 29 to 351 of the family's 1533-position model. Lineage: Bacteria; Pseudomonadati; Pseudomonadota. The record is from RNAcentral.
AUUGAACGCUGGCGGCAUGCCUUACACAUGCAAGUCGAACGGUAACGCGGGGCAACCUGGCGACGAGUGGCGAACGGGUGAGUAAUGCAUCGGAACGUGCCCAGUAGUGGGGGAUAGCCCGGCGAAAGCCGGAUUAAUACCGCAUACGACCUAUGGGUGAAAGCGGGGGACCGUAAGGCCUCGCGCUAUUGGAGCGGCCGAUGUCAGAUUAGGUAGUUGGUGGGGUAAAGGCUCACCAAGCCGACGAUCUGUAGCUGGUCUGAGAGGACGACCAGCCACACUGGGACUGAGACACGGCCCAGACACCUACGGGUGGCUG